This 307-nucleotide ribosomal RNA is filed under the name uncultured eukaryote. Its description in RNAcentral is "partial 18S ribosomal RNA". It matches the Rfam family "Eukaryotic small subunit ribosomal RNA", at positions 1470 to 1796 of the family's 1831-position model. The record is from RNAcentral.
CCCUUAGACGUUCUGGGCCGCACGCGCGUUACACUGACGAAGGCAACGAGCUUUCCUUUACCGAAAGGUACGGGUAAUCUUUUGAAACUUCGUCGUGCUGGGGAUAGAUCCUUGCAAUUUUUGAUCUUAAACGAGGAAUGCCUAGUAAGCGCAAGUCAUCAACUUGCGUUGAUUACGUCCCUGCCCUUUGUACACACCGCCCGUCGCUACUACCGAUUGAAUGGUUUAGUGAGGCCUUCGGAUCCGCGACUCGUUUGUGGAGAAGUUGGACAAACUCAGUCAUUUAGAGGAAGUAAAAGUCGUAACA